GAUGAACGCUGGCGGCGUGCUUAACACAUGCAAGUCGAACGAUGAAGCCCAGCUUGCUGGGUGGAUUAGUGGCGAACGGGUGAGUAACACGUGAGUAACCUGCCCUUAACUCUGGGAUAAGCCUGGGAAACUGAGUCUAAUACCGGAUAGGAGCGCCUACCGCAUGGUGGGUGUUGGAAAGAUUUAUCGGUUUUGGAUGGACUCGCGGCCUAUCAGCUUGUUGGUGAGGUAAUGGCUCACCAAGGCGACGACGGGUAGCCGGCCUGAGAGGGUGACCGGCCACACUGGGACUGAGACACGGCCCAGACUCCUACGGGAGGCAGCAGUGGGGAAUAUUGCACAAUGGGCGAAAGCCUGAUGCAGCGACGCCGCGUGAGGGAUGACGGCCUUCGGGUUGUAAACCUCUUUCAGUAGGGAAGAAGCGAAAGUGACGGUACCUGCAGAAGAAGCACCGGCUAACUACGUG
RNAcentral lists this ribosomal RNA (466 nucleotides) under uncultured bacterium. RNAcentral's name for it is "partial 16S ribosomal RNA". It matches the Rfam family "Bacterial small subunit ribosomal RNA", at positions 28 to 507 of the family's 1533-position model. The record is from RNAcentral.